Molecule: long non-coding RNA, 444 nt
Filed under: Musa acuminata (dwarf banana)
Lineage: Eukaryota; Viridiplantae; Streptophyta; Magnoliopsida; Zingiberales; Musaceae
Description: long non-coding RNA (MACU_LNC005079)
Source: RNAcentral
AUGCACCAUAAAAGUUUGGUGAAUAGGACAAGGAUGCAUGGCUGCUCAUCACAUGGAUAAAUGUGUGUGAAACCUCUCAAUCGUAAUCAAUGAACUUGUUGGUGGCACCAGGGAAAUAGUAAAUUUGAGCUAAUACAAAAGAUUUAGUCAAAAAUAUUGUAUUACUUUAAGUCCACCUCCAAAAGGAGAUUAACUGAAUCUCUAAAUAUAUACAUAUGAAUGUGAUUAAUCUGAAAUAUGCUGUGUUAACAGCUCAUGAUGUGUUCUAAACAAUGAUGUGCAGAUAGCAAUGACAGGUUGCAGAAUCUGGGAAGUAGUAACCAUCUAUCUACAUAUACUUACAAACAAACACACACAAAUGUUAUUAAUCUGAAGUAUGUUGUGUUAAUAGCUCAUGAUGUGUUCUCAAGAGUGAUGCACAGACAAAAAUGAGAGGUUGUUGAA